This 125-nucleotide microRNA precursor is filed under the name Gossypium arboreum. RNAcentral describes it as "MIR7504 microRNA precursor family". It matches the Rfam family "MIR7504 microRNA precursor family". RNAcentral also lists the same sequence under 1 other name. The record is from Rfam by way of RNAcentral. Lineage: Eukaryota; Viridiplantae; Streptophyta; Magnoliopsida; Malvales; Malvaceae.
AAUAAGAAAAUGACUAAUUAGAUUUUUUUUCUCCUGAUUUUCAGUUUUUUCCUUCUCAACAAAUUUAAAUCCAACUAAAAAUACUAAAAAUUAGGAGGAAAAAUCUAAUUUGUCAUUAUCUACUU